GUGCACAAUAUGUACCCUAAAAACCACAAAAAUUUUAAAAAAAAAUUUGGAUAAAUUCGGUGCAAAAUUGAAAGAGUUUUGGAUUUCUAAAACUCUAUCUCAUAGAAUUCGAAAUCCAAACUUAUUCCUUUUUGAUUUGAUCCAAACCACCUUCCAUGUAAGAAAGAAGAGAGGAAACCUUUUGUGAACAUGGGAGAGACCUGGGAGAGGGCUUUUGUCACAUAAAAUAAGUGGAGAUUGGCAUUGAAUAAGAGAGAGGGC
RNAcentral lists this long non-coding RNA (261 nucleotides) under Elaeis guineensis (African oil palm). RNAcentral describes it as "long non-coding RNA (EGUI_LNC053106)". Lineage: Eukaryota; Viridiplantae; Streptophyta; Magnoliopsida; Arecales; Arecaceae. The record is from RNAcentral.